Molecule: unclassified non-coding RNA, 94 nt
Organism: Pan paniscus (pygmy chimpanzee)
Lineage: Eukaryota; Metazoa; Chordata; Mammalia; Primates; Hominidae
Rfam family: Y RNA
About the family: Y RNAs are components of the Ro ribonucleoprotein particle (Ro RNP), in association with Ro60 and La proteins. The Y RNAs and Ro60 and La proteins are well conserved, but the function of the Ro RNP is not known. In humans the RNA component can be one of four small RNAs -- hY1, hY3, hY4 and hY5.
Source: Ensembl
GGCUGGCUCAAGUGCCGUGGUGUUCACAACUAAUCACAACCAGUUACAGAUUUGUUUCUUCUCCAUUCACACUGCUUCACUUGACCAGUCUAAA